RNAcentral lists this long non-coding RNA (1343 nucleotides) under Anas platyrhynchos platyrhynchos (common mallard). Its description in RNAcentral is "lncRNA (ENSAPLG00000016496.1)". The record is from RNAcentral. Lineage: Eukaryota; Metazoa; Chordata; Aves; Anseriformes; Anatidae.
GGGGAGAGAGAUCCUUAUUACUACUCUGAAUGCAACACGUUGUCUCAAAACCAUCUAUAGAGCUGCAGGCCCAGAGAUGUUCCCCUACCACAGAGGUUUACUUGUGUGAGGGAACAUGGUCACCCCCAUUGGAACUGUGGCAGACUUCUCUGGAAGAAGGCAAAAAAGAUGUCAGUGAACACAAGCCUGGUCACAAAAAGGGUUCAAGAGAAAAGAACAAAGCUAGUUGCACCCAAAGGCCUGGGCUCCUCUCCAUUCUGCGUUCACCAGCCUUGCUGAUCAGCCAUGGAGAAGAGGCUGUGCUGCUCUGUUUAAAAGGACAGCAGAGCAUGUGUGCUAUCAGGGAAGCUCAGGAAGCAAUGGGCUCCCUUUGAGAAACACAGAAGAGAAAGAAUGAAUUUAUUUUAGUUGCAUGUCAAUUGCAGUGUUAACUUAAACAAUUAAUGUUAGCUUUUGGCAAGAAACUCUAACAGCUCUGUAUUUAACAUGCACCUUUACAGUAAGAGGGCUUCAAAACAAAACAUGUUCUCUUCUAUUUAGGCUCUUAUACUGCACUCAUCUCCAUGGUAGCCAACAAACAUACACCCCUUCUGCAUUUCCCAAAGCGUGUCCCGUAUGUAGGUCUGUAGGGAGUAUGUACGUCUGCUCUUACCAGGCAUUUCUCUUAGAAGUAUUAAAAUUCACUCAGGACUUCCUCCCCUUUGUCAAAGAAAGCUCUUUUGUAAGCUAGGCUUUUGAUCUGAUGGCUCCCAAUUUGUGAAAGUUUUGAAGAUCACUGCAGUAUAUUCUCAGAAACCUGGCUUCGGUUGUGUGGAGAUUUUGUCUUUACACAGUGUUGACUUGCUCGCUCUCCUUACAAAACCCAGGAGAGCUUUGGGCAGUCAGGUGCAGGCAUUUGUUGUAUAAACAGCUCCUGAAGAAGUCUCAAAGAGCUAUGAGGGGGAGGAGGGUCUGCAAACCAGAUCUGUAAUGAAGACUUCCCAAUGCAAAUGUGUUCAUAGAGGCUGCUGCCUUCUCUCAGCCUACUCCUUUCCAUCUAAAACAGCUGACAAAUGGUUAUGUUGUGUUUGCAAUUACAGCUCUCUGAAAGUGAUAAAUUACUCUGAUUGUUCUUAAAUACAGGACUUCUACAUGUAUAAUUAAUACAUAGACUUGAGUAUGGGAUAGCUGGUGGGACACAUCCAGGUUCCGUUUACACCAUAACAGAUCUAGAGCAGCUCUAGCUGUCUCUGUUCAUGUAACACUGCUACUAGAUUGCUCUUGCACACUUGUAAUACCUUGCAGGAGUGUCCCCUGUCAGAGUAACAGAGAGCAUAGUAUGGCUCAUAUGUUUUAGUCCCCAC